This 502-nucleotide ribosomal RNA is filed under the name uncultured bacterium. RNAcentral describes it as "bacterial SSU rRNA". It matches the Rfam family "Bacterial small subunit ribosomal RNA", at positions 62 to 560 of the family's 1533-position model. The record is from RNAcentral.
UCGACGCGAGCACUUGUGCUCGAGUGGCGAACGGGUGAGUAAUACAUAAGUAACCUGCCCUAGACAGGGGGAUAACUAUUGGAAACGAUAGCUAAGACCGCAUAGGUACGGACACUGCAUGGUGACCGUAUUAAAAGUGCCUCAAAGCACUGGUAGAGGAUGGACUUAUGGCGCAUUAGCUGGUUGGCGGGGUAACGGCCCACCAAGGCGACGAUGCGUAGCCGACCUGAGAGGGUGACCGGCCACACUGGGACUGAGACACGGCCCAGACUCCUACGGGAGGCAGCAGUAGGGAAUUUUCGGCAAUGGGGGAAACCCUGACCGAGCAACGCCGCGUGAAGGAAGAAGGUUUUCGGAUUGUAAACUUCUGUUAUAAAGGAAGAACGGCGGCUACAGGAAAUGGUAGCCGAGUGACGGUACUUUAUUAGAAAGCCACGGCUAACUACGUGCCAGCAGCCGCGGUAAUACGUAGGUGGCAAGCGUUAUCCGGAAUUAUUGGGCG